Molecule: ribosomal RNA, 1372 nt
Filed under: uncultured bacterium
Lineage: Bacteria
Description: bacterial SSU rRNA
Rfam family: Bacterial small subunit ribosomal RNA
Source: RNAcentral
GAUGAACGCUGGCGGCGUGCCUAAUACAUGCAAGUCGAGCGAACGGACGAGAAGCUUGCUUCUCUGAUGUUAGCGGCGGACGGGUGAGUAACACGUGGAUAACCUACCUAUAAGACUGGGAUAACUUCGGGAAACCGGAGCUAAUACCGGAUAAUAUUUUGAACCGCAUGGUUCAAAAGUGAAAGACGGUCUUGCUGUCACUUAUAGAUGGAUCCGCGCUGCAUUAGCUAGUUGGUAAGGUAACGGCUUACCAAGGCAACGAUGCAUAGCCGACCUGAGAGGGUGAUCGGCCACACUGGAACUGAGACACGGUCCAGACUCCUACGGGAGGCAGCAGUAGGGAAUCUUCCGCAAUGGGCGAAAGCCUGACGGAGCAACGCCGCGUGAGUGAUGAAGGUCUUCAGAUCGUAAAACUCUGUUAUUAGGGAAGAACAUAUGUGUAAGUAACUGUGCACAUCUUGACGGUACCUAAUCCGAAAGCCACGGCUAACUACGUGCCAGCAGCCGCGGUAAUACGUAGGUGGCAAGCGUUAUCCGGAAUUAUUGGGCGUAAAGCGCGCGUAGGCGGUUUUUUAAGUCUGAUGUGAAAGCCCACGGCUCAACCGUGGAGGGUCAUUGGAAACUGGAAAACUUGAGUGCAGAAGAGGAAAGUGGAAUUCCAUGUGUAGCGGUGAAAUGCGCAGAGAUAUGGAGGAACACCAGUGGCGAAGGCGACUUUCUGGUCUGUAACUGACGCUGAUGUGCGAAAGCGUGGGGAUCAAACAGGAUUAGAUACCCUGGUAGUCCACGCCGUAAACGAUGAGUGCUAAGUGUUAGGGGGUUUCCGCCCCUUAGUGCUGCAGCUAACGCAUUAAGCACUCCGCCUGGGGAGUACGACCGCAAGGUUGAAACUCAAAGGAAUUGACGGGGACCCGCACAAGCGGUGGAGCAUGUGGUUUAAUUCGAAGCAACGCGAAGAACCUUACCAAAUCUUGACAUCCUUUGACAACUCUAGAGAUAGAGCCUUCCCCUUCGGGGGACAAAGUGACAGGUGGUGCAUGGUUGUCGUCAGCUCGUGUCGUGAGAUGUUGGGUUAAGUCCCGCAACGAGCGCAACCCUUAAGCUUAGUUGCCAUCAUUAAGUUGGGCACUCUAAGUUGACUGCCGGUGACAAACCGGAGGAAGGUGGGGAUGACGUCAAAUCAUCAUGCCCCUUAUGAUUUGGGCUACACACGUGCUACAAUGGACAAUACAAAGGGCAGCGAAACCGCGAGGUCAAGCAAAUCCCAUAAAGUUGUUCUCAGUUCGGAUUGUAGUCUGCAACUCGACUACAUGAAGCUGGAAUCGCUAGUAAUCGUAGAUCAGCAUGCUACGGUGAAUACGUUCCCGGGUCU